UGGGGGAUAUUGCACAAUGGGGGGAACCUUAAUGCAGCGACGCCGCGUGAGGGAUGGAGGCCUUCGGGUUGUGAACCUCUUUCGCUCGUGUGCAAGCCGCUAUUUGGGUAGUGGUGAGUGUAGCGGGUAAAGAAGCGCCGGCUAACUACGUGCCAGCAGCCGCGGUAAUACGUAGGGCGCGAGCGUUGUCCGGAUUUAUUGGGCGUAAAGGGCUUGUAGGCGGUUUGUCGCGCCUGUCGUGUAAUCCUCUGGCUUAACUGGGGGUGUGCGGUGGGUACGGGCAAGCUUGAGUGCGGUAGGGGAGAUUGGAAUUCCUGGUGUAGCGGUGGAAUGCGCAGAUAUCAGGAGGAACACCGGUGGCGAAGGCGGGUCUCUGGGCCGUUACUGACGCUGAGGAGCGAAAGCGUGGGGAGCGAACAGG
RNAcentral lists this ribosomal RNA (421 nucleotides) under Fusobacteriota bacterium. RNAcentral describes it as "Fusobacteria bacterium partial 16S ribosomal RNA". It matches the Rfam family "Bacterial small subunit ribosomal RNA", at positions 355 to 776 of the family's 1533-position model. The record is from RNAcentral. Lineage: Bacteria; Fusobacteriati; Fusobacteriota.